RNAcentral lists this ribosomal RNA (424 nucleotides) under uncultured prokaryote. Its description in RNAcentral is "bacterial SSU rRNA". It matches the Rfam family "Bacterial small subunit ribosomal RNA", at positions 355 to 796 of the family's 1533-position model. The record is from RNAcentral.
UGGGGAAUCUUGGACAAUGGGGGCGACCCUGAUCCAGCCAUGCCGCGUGGGUGAAGAAGGCCUUAGGGUUGUAAAGCCCUUUCAGUCGUGACGAUGAUGACGGUAGCGACAGAAGAAGCCCCGGCUAACUCCGUGCCAGCAGCCGCGGUAAUACGGAGGGGGCAAGCGUUGUUCGGAUUUACUGGGCGUAAAGGGCGCGUAGGCGGAUGAUCAAGUCAGAGGUGAAAGGCCCGGGCACAACCUGGGACGUGCCUUUGAAACUGAUUGUCUUGAGUGCGGGAGAGGGUGACGGAAUUCCCAGUGUAGAGGUGAAAUUCGUAGAUAUUGGGAAGAACACCGGUGGCGAAGGCGACUCUCUGGUCCGGUACUGACGCUGAGGUGCGAAAGCGUGGGGAGCAAACAGGAUUAGAUACCCCCGUAGUCC